This 2924-nucleotide ribosomal RNA is filed under the name Salmonella enterica subsp. enterica serovar Newport. RNAcentral's name for it is "bacterial LSU rRNA". It matches the Rfam family "Bacterial large subunit ribosomal RNA". Lineage: Bacteria; Pseudomonadati; Pseudomonadota; Gammaproteobacteria; Enterobacterales; Enterobacteriaceae. The record is from RNAcentral.
GGGUUGUGAGGUUAAGCGACUAAGCGUACACGGUGGAUGCCCUGGCAGUCAGAGGCGAUGAAGGACGUGCUAAUCUGCGAUAAGCGCCGGUAAGGUGAUAUGAACCGUUAUAACCGGCGAUUUCCGAAUGGGGAAACCCAGUGUGAUUCGUCACACUAUCAUUAACUGAAUCCAUAGGUUAAUGAGGCGAACCGGGGAACUGAAACAUCUAAGUACCCCGAGGAAAAGAAAUCAACCGAGAUUCCCCCAGUAGCGGCGAGCGAACGGGGAGGAGCCCAGAGCCUGAAUCAGCAUGUGUGUUAGUGGAAGCGUCUGGAAAGGCGCGCGAUACAGGGUGACAGCCCCGUACACAAAAGCGCAUGUGCUGUGAGCUCGAUGAGUAGGGCGGGACACGUGGUAUCCUGUCUGAAUAUGGGGGGACCAUCCUCCAAGGCUAAAUACUCCUGACUGACCGAUAGUGAACCAGUACCGUGAGGGAAAGGCGAAAAGAACCCCGGCGAGGGGAGUGAAAAAGAACCUGAAACCGUGUACGUACAAGCAGUGGGAGCACAGGUUUACCUGUGUGACUGCGUACCUUUUGUAUAAUGGGUCAGCGACUUAUAUUCUGUAGCAAGGUUAACCGAAUAGGGGAGCCGGAGGGAAACCGAGUCUUAAUUGGGCGUUAAGUUGCAGGGUAUAGACCCGAAACCCGGUGAUCUAGCCAUGGGCAGGUUGAAGGUUGGGUAACACUAACUGGAGGACCGAACCGACUAAUGUUGAAAAAUUAGCGGAUGACCUGUGGCUGGGGGUGAAAGGCCAAUCAAACCGGGAGAUAGCUGGUUCUCCCCGAAAGCUAUUUAGGUAGCGCCUCGUGAACUCAUCUCCGGGGGUAGAGCACUGUUUCGGCUAGGGGGCCAUCCCGGCUUACCAACCCGAUGCAAACUGCGAAUACCGGAGAAUGUUAUCACGGGAGACACACGGCGGGUGCUAACGUCCGUCGUGAAGAGGGAAACAACCCAGACCGCCAGCUAAGGUCCCAAAGUCAUGGUUAAGUGGGAAACGAUGUGGGAAGGCCCAGACAGCCAGGAUGUUGGCUUAGAAGCAGCCAUCAUUUAAAGAAAGCGUAAUAGCUCACUGGUCGAGUCGGCCUGCGCGGAAGAUGUAACGGGGCUAAACCAUGCACCGAAGCUGCGGCAGCGACACUGUGUGUUGUUGGGUAGGGGAGCGUUCUGUAAGCCUGUGAAGGUGGCCUGUGAGGGUUGCUGGAGGUAUCAGAAGUGCGAAUGCUGACAUAAGUAACGAUAAAGCGGGUGAAAAGCCCGCUCGCCGGAAGACCAAGGGUUCCUGUCCAACGUUAAUCGGGGCAGGGUGAGUCGACCCCUAAGGCGAGGCCGAAAGGCGUAGUCGAUGGGAAACAGGUUAAUAUUCCUGUACUUGGUGUUACUGCGAAGGGGGGACGGAGAAGGCUAUGUUGGCCGGGCGACGGUUGUCCCGGUUUAAGCGUGUAGGCUGGUUUUCCAGGCAAAUCCGGAAAAUCAAGGCUGAGGCGUGAUGACGAGGCACUACGGUGCUGAAGCAACAAAUGCCCUGCUUCCAGGAAAAGCCUCUAAGCAUCAGGUAACAUCAAAUCGUACCCCAAACCGACACAGGUGGUCAGGUAGAGAAUACCAAGGCGCUUGAGAGAACUCGGGUGAAGGAACUAGGCAAAAUGGUGCCGUAACUUCGGGAGAAGGCACGCUGACACGUAGGUGAAGUGAUUUACUCAUGGAGCUGAAGUCAGUCGAAGAUACCAGCUGGCUGCAACUGUUUAUUAAAAACACAGCACUGUGCAAACACGAAAGUGGACGUAUACGGUGUGACGCCUGCCCGGUGCCGGAAGGUUAAUUGAUGGGGUCAGCGCAAGCGAAGCUCCUGAUCGAAGCCCCGGUAAACGGCGGCCGUAACUAUAACGGUCCUAAGGUAGCGAAAUUCCUUGUCGGGUAAGUUCCGACCUGCACGAAUGGCGUAAUGAUGGCCAGGCUGUCUCCACCCGAGACUCAGUGAAAUUGAACUCGCUGUGAAGAUGCAGUGUACCCGCGGCAAGACGGAAAGACCCCGUGAACCUUUACUAUAGCUUGACACUGAACAUUGAGCCUUGAUGUGUAGGAUAGGUGGGAGGCUUUGAAGCGUGGACGCCAGUCUGCGUGGAGCCGACCUUGAAAUACCACCCUUUAAUGUUUGAUGUUCUAACGUGGACCCGUAAUCCGGGUUGCGGACAGUGUCUGGUGGGUAGUUUGACUGGGGCGGUCUCCUCCUAAAGAGUAACGGAGGAGCACGAAGGUUGGCUAAUCCUGGUCGGACAUCAGGAGGUUAGUGCAAUGGCAUAAGCCAGCUUGACUGCGAGCGUGACGGCGCGAGCAGGUGCGAAAGCAGGUCAUAGUGAUCCGGUGGUUCUGAAUGGAAGGGCCAUCGCUCAACGGAUAAAAGGUACUCCGGGGAUAACAGGCUGAUACCGCCCAAGAGUUCAUAUCGACGGCGGUGUUUGGCACCUCGAUGUCGGCUCAUCACAUCCUGGGGCUGAAGUAGGUCCCAAGGGUAUGGCUGUUCGCCAUUUAAAGUGGUACGCGAGCUGGGUUUAGAACGUCGUGAGACAGUUCGGUCCCUAUCUGCCGUGGGCGCUGGAGAACUGAGGGGGCUGCUCCUAGUACGAGAGGACCGGAGUGGACGCAUCACUGGUGUUCGGGUUGUCAUGCCAAUGGCACUGCCCGGUAGCUAAAUGCGGAAGAGAUAAGUGCUGAAAGCAUCUAAGCACGAAACUUGCCCCGAGAUGAGUUCUCCCUGAGACUUAGAGUCUCCUGAAGGAACGUUGAAGACGACGACGUUGAUAGGCCGGGUGUGUAAGCGCAGCGAUGCGUUGAGCUAACCGGUACUAAUGAACCGUGAGGCUUAACCUUACAACGCCGAAG